Long non-coding RNA from Anopheles gambiae (African malaria mosquito), 2461 nucleotides. RefSeq lists it as uncharacterized. The transcript has 2 exons. NCBI's taxonomy places the organism in Eukaryota, Metazoa, Arthropoda, Insecta, Diptera, Culicidae. The record is from RefSeq and is a predicted model, not a curated record.
GAUAACCGUCAAUGAACCCACGUACAAAUAGUGGCCCAAUAAACCGCAUCGCACCAUUCUCACAUUUCAAUCCGCAUCAUUCUAAAACGUUGUCCAUUUAUUUUGAUUUACGAAUUUCUUUCACCGCGACGACGCACGUUGUCCGAACCAGUUAGCAGUUCGGCUGGUUGAAGAUUGAUAUUAGCAGCUCACAUGCCUGUCCGAUGUGGCAUGGCACGCCCUGGUAAGAUGGCGGGAGAACGAUGCAGUAGCGCACGUUGUUUGCCAUUGAGAGCAUUAAGUAGCGCUAAUGUUUGAAAUUAAGUGACUCAGUACAUGCGCGCCUCGAGACAUGGAGACGUUAUGGAAAUGGGAAACGAACACAAUUGUCACGAUAGCAUAAUUGAUUGAGCAUGUUUAGGAUGUUACGGUAGCUCGGGCGCUUUCAAACGAGAACGUGACCAACAUAAUUGAAAGAACAUUAGAAAAAAGAACAAAAUAAGGAAAUAAACUAAACAAACAAUCUUGUCAGCAAAUCUGAACAAAACGCAUCCUACUGUCAAUCUCGGGUUAAUCUUGUUCUCGAAAGUUCCCCUAGACACGACGCAAAUCGAAUGGAGAUUUCAAUUUAAAUGAUAAAGCAGCAAUUUAGCGUCGGCAGCGCCAGACCAAGGGUCUGGGCUAAAUCCAAUCAGCUGACCGUCUCGUGGUGGAAGCAGCGUGCUCCAUCCCUAAACUCCACAGUGAUCUUGCUCCGUUUAGCAUUGUCCUAAGUUUACCGAGUGAGUAAAGCCUGAGGGACUGGCGUAAGGUGUGAUUUUGACUGCCAUUCAAUGUUUCAACGGCAACCGUAAGUCGAGUGGCAAGCGCGGACAGGCGGCAUGACGAAGCGUAAGAAAAGGCACUCAUAAUUCUAGCGACGAGCAACGAUCGUCCAUCCCCCUUGCGCUUCGCCUGUGACGUGCGUAAUCGAGCUCGAUCGAGGGGACGCUUUGCGCGAAGGAGGCGCAGAACAGGGAAGCUCAAUUGUGCAAAAGACUCGCGGCCGCACUCAGUACGCGUUCGAUUAUCGCACCGAGUGAAGCGUCGCACAACGUUCACAACUUGCGCGUCGUGUGGUUUUGGGCGAUUCCAUUCGUCGGUGACACGAAACGUGCUCUGUUUGUAACUGUCUGUUGAUAUUAGAGUAUCCUGAACACAGUAGAACAAUGGCCACGAUUGGAAGCCGAAUCGUGCUAGUGCUGUUUUGUUUCGUGCUGGGGAAUUUCGUACUGUUUCACGAUCGUGAGCGGAUCGUUCUCGCGCAGUACAUCGAAGAUGAAACGUCAUUACGCGGGCUCGACUUUCUUGGUGAUUCGCCCAAAGGACUUUUUGGACGAUGGCACUCCGAGAAGCAAUAUUUGAGACGCUUGCAUCUCGAUCGUACGGGCGAAUGAUCGAUGACCUUGAAAUGCAACCGUCUCUCUAGUGCUUCUAUCAAUCGAAAGCAGGUUUAUCGAAUACUCAGGACAAUUGAAAUUCGAUCUGGUGUUAUAAUCCGUGUCAUUGACUUGGCGAUGGUUUGGAACGGUUUGUUGACCGUUGCAAUCGAUGUCACACGCUGUUGGCAAGUUUUACCGUUUAAUUGGAAAGGUCAAUGUUUGUUUGGUGGUGUAUUUUGGCGGGGCUGCCAAGCAAACAGAAAAUUGGGAAUGCUGAAUAUUUCACCCGUUUCACACUUGGAUUCUUUAAGGAUUUAAGAAACAAAACCAUACACUAUAUCAUUUAGCAAUGUUUGCCUAACGCUUCAAAGUCAGUGUAUUGACCGUUUAGAGGUCACAAAGAGACGUUCAGAUUAAAAAAAAGUGCUACUUCAGUUUUGGAACUCCAUACUAGAGGGUAGCCACACAAGCUCAACACUCAUCAUUGGUACAAGAAGUACUCAUUCGUUCAGUGAAAAAAAAACAAACCUCACACACUUUUUUCUCCACCGUUUAUCGACGAGCAGCAAUUACGCGCAUCCAUUGUUCUGGUGUCUCGUGCUGUUCGUACAAAGUUGGGCUAUGCUGUGACGCGCAAAAAGAACCUCGUCUUAUUGAGCAUACUUCACGCAAAGGGUUGAAACGUUCGUUUCGGUAUAAUUUUGUGCCCAUCAAUAAUGGACACUCAUGCUCUGACGUCAGAAUGUGCUUCGAGUUCAGUUCGAAUUAUCCGUGUAGGUUUAAAAUGAUAGAUAGGGAGUUGUCGAUCGUUACGGGUGUUUCUUUGGUUUUGUUGCCAGAGCGGAAAUACUUAUGUUGGACCAUAUGUUUAAUCUAUUUUCAGGGAUGAAUUACCUUAGGACAAAGCCAUCCAGGAGUGUUGCAAGUUAUCAACGAAAGAAAUUAAAUAUAAUUAGCUUUAGGUUGUACUGUCGAAGUGUGUGUGUUAUAUGAUGAAGAUAUGAAUAUUGUUUAAAACUCAUAAUUGAAGUUUAAUAAAAAGUAAUAUUUGUAAAAAUCUA